RNAcentral lists this ribosomal RNA (408 nucleotides) under Acinetobacter baumannii Canada BC-5. RNAcentral's name for it is "bacterial SSU rRNA". It matches the Rfam family "Bacterial small subunit ribosomal RNA", at positions 30 to 438 of the family's 1533-position model. Lineage: Bacteria; Pseudomonadati; Pseudomonadota; Gammaproteobacteria; Moraxellales; Moraxellaceae. The record is from RNAcentral.
AUUGAACGCUGGCGGCAGGCUUAACACAUGCAAGUCGAGCGGGGGAAGGUAGCUUGCUACCGGACCUAGCGGCGGACGGGUGAGUAAUGCUUAGGAAUCUGCCUAUUAGUGGGGGACAACAUCUCGAAAGGGAUGCUAAUACCGCAUACGUCCUACGGGAGAAAGCAGGGGAUCUUCGGACCUUGCGCUAAUAGAUGAGCCUAAGUCGGAUUAGCUAGUUGGUGGGGUAAAGGCCUACCAAGGCGACGAUCUGUAGCGGGUCUGAGAGGAUGAUCCGCCACACUGGGACUGAGACACGGCCCAGACUCCUACGGGAGGCAGCAGUGGGGAAUAUUGGACAAUGGGGGGAACCCUGAUCCAGCCAUGCCGCGUGUGUGAAGAAGGCCUUAUGGUUGUAAAGCACUUUAA